AUAUCAAUAAGCGGAGGAAAAGAAACUAACAAGGAUUCCCCUAGUAACGGCGAGUGAAGCGGGAAGAGCUCAAAUUUUAAAUCUGGCGUCCCCCGGGCGUCCGAGUUGUAAUCUAGAGAAGCGUUUUCCGCGUUGGACCCACCAUAAGUUACCUCGAACGGUACAUCAUAGAGGGUGAGAAUCCCGUAUGUUGGUGGGAGCCCAGGGCUUUACGAUGCGCUCUCGACGAGUCGAGUUGUUUGGGAAUGCAGCUCAAAAUGGGAGGUAAAUUCCUUCUAAAGCUAAAUACAUUGGGAUGACCGAUAGCGAACAAGUACCGUGAGGGAAAGAUGAAAAGCACUUUGGAAAGAGAGUCAAACAGUACGUGAAAUUGUUGGUAGGGAAACGCUUGAAGUCAGUCGCGUCUCUCGGGACUCAGCCUUGCUUUUGCUUGGUGUAUUUCCCGGUUGACGGGCCAGCGUCCAUUUCGUUCGCUGGAAAAGGGCGGUUUGAAUGUGGCAGCUUCGGCUGUGUUAUAGCUUACCGUCGUACACGGCGUUUGGGAUGGAUCUUACAGCACGCUUUCAGCGGUGCUUAUGUUGGCGUAAUGGCUUUAAACGA
RNAcentral lists this ribosomal RNA (600 nucleotides) under uncultured fungus. RNAcentral's name for it is "eukaryotic LSU rRNA". It matches the Rfam family "Eukaryotic large subunit ribosomal RNA", at positions 40 to 647 of the family's 3401-position model. Lineage: Eukaryota; Fungi. The record is from RNAcentral.